This 392-nucleotide ribosomal RNA is filed under the name uncultured bacterium. Its description in RNAcentral is "bacterial SSU rRNA". It matches the Rfam family "Bacterial small subunit ribosomal RNA", at positions 28 to 419 of the family's 1533-position model. The record is from RNAcentral.
GACGAACGCUGGCGGCGUGCUUAACACAUGCAAGUCGAGCGGUAAGGCCCUUUCGGGGGUACGACGAGCGGCGAACGGGUGAGUAACACGUGGGUGACCUGCCCUCAGCUCUGGGAUAAGCCUGGGAAACCGGGUCUAAUACUGGAUAUGACUCCAUGACGCAUGUUGUGGGGUGGGAAAGCCUUGUGCGGCUGAGGAUGGGCCCGCGGCCUACCAGCUUGUUGGUGGGGUGAUGGCCUACCAAGGCGACGACGGGUAGCCGGCCUGAGAGGGCGACCGGCCACACUGGGACUGAGACACGGCCCAGACUCCUACGGGAGGCAGCAGUGGGGAAUCUUGCGCAAUGGGCGAAAGCCUGACGCAGCGACGCCGCGUGAGGGAUGACGGCCUGG